AUCCAACAAUAACAUUUACAUACUAGAAAAGGGAUGCCGUAAUCUAACAUGCAAAUAAAUUGAAGGUAAGUGAAUGACGAUUCACUAAUUCUCCAUCACAAAACUUAAACUAUUAGUCCUAAGUGUUUUUGAGAAUUCCUAGGUUCGGAUGAGAUUCAUUGAAACUAUUCAAUGGCAUGUUUAAAUCUCGAUAUGCCCCUCUUGUUUGUGACUGGGAUGCCGAGGAUCACAAAGCGGGUGUGAAUUACCAUGCAAAUUCACAUGGUGCCUUCAUUGUAACAAUCACCUAUUCGAUGUGCCGGUAAACCACACACGCUCCAUCGAACUAUGAUAAACAAUGAAUCACCCUUUGCCACCUUCGCUUAGAACCAAUUAGUGUGCCGGUAAACCACACACGCUCCACUAACAUCUUAGCAAGGUGCAAAGUGUAAUUUCAUGGGAUUGCAUCAAUUCACUUUUCCUAAAGUAACUAGGAUUGGGAAAUUUUAAAAAAAUGUGUAGUUACUUUAUAUUUCUUAUUAUACUUUUAAUGAGAGGAUGAGGUUGCCCUAUCCUACCCGUUCGGCUAACGACCCUCCACCAAUCAAGCAAGCGGUGGGUGUGAGUGUACACCCAUUAAGCGCCAUUUUAUAGGCCGCAACCUUAUACCCACCUUAUAGAUCGGCUUCGUGAAUGAGGCCUACUAACGGUAAGACUAGCAUUUAGUUAUACAUAUAUAUAUUAUUCUAGUAAUAUCAUAUUAGUAUAGGGUUGUAUUUUAAAACUUUUAAAAUCUAGGGUUUGAAAUUUAAGUUGUCUAAAUUAAAACUUUUAAUCACAAAAGUAAAUUUCAAAACAUGAGGGUAGGUUUUAAACAUUUAAAACAUGGAGGAUCAAAUAACAAAUAAUUCCAAUUAACAAUUAAUAUCCUAAUUAUCUAUAUUUGAUUUAUUCAAGAUUUCUUUUAAAGAUAAUUACCAAAAUAAUCAAAAUAAUUAAUUAAUUAUCAUAUAAGGAAAUUAAAUAUUUAAUUAGUUGAUAAUUACCUUUAACUAGAUCAAGAUAAUAGUUAUAUUUAUCAGAAAAACGAAUUAAUGUUGAUCUAAUUAGUUUAUGGUAAGUUAAGAUAAGAUAAACACAAAGAAAUCCCGAAUCUGGCCAUUCCUGACGCCUGGACUCGCCGAGUGCACAAAUGGACUCGCCGAGUCAGGCCUACUCGCCGAGUCCACUUUGAGACUCGCCGAGUCCAUGACUCAGAAACCAAAAAUUCGAAUUUUGCAGGUUUGUUUCAGUUAAUCAAGCAACAAUUUACAGAAAACCAAGCUAGGCUCUGAUACCACUGAUGGGUUUUAGCCAUAAGAACUUUCCUAUGUGCGCAUGCAAAACCCUAAUGCUUGGAUCUAGGCUUUCUAAUAAACAUGCUUUGAAUCCAAGACUUCUAAUUACUAAUUAGGUUAAACAAGAACAUUAAAACAGAUCUAGAAUCAUACCUUUGAGUUCCUUGUUGAUCUUGAGGUCUUGGAGCUUCUAGAGUCACAAAUGUCACUCCUCUAAUGGCUUACAAACACCAAAGCAAGGAGGAUGAUUUGGGAGAGAGGAGAGGGGAGGAAUUUCGACCAGAGGUUCCUUACUUUAGGUCAAGUGUCGAAUUCCAUCAGCCAUGGGGUCUAUUUAUACUUGUAGACUCCUUAAGGAUUACAGAUAAGUCCCUAUCAGAUAAUCUUCUCUUAAGGCUAUCCAAAUCCAUUCCUAGAUAACUCUAAUGGACGAUUUUAGCUAUCCUAAUCCUCUUAGAAUUCGUCCAUAGUAUAUCCAAAUGGAUUUACAGUUUAAAGCUUAACUAUCAAACAAUUGACAGUUUAUACCCCUUUAUUUAAUUAAUCUCUUUAAGUCACCAAAUUAAUUCUAAUUAAUUCUAUGACUUAUAUUAAUCAAAUAACAAAUAUAUUAUUCAUUAUAUUAUUCCCAUAAUAUAUUAAUAAUAUUUAUUCUCUCUUAAUAAAUCAUCCUAUCAAGUUGCUAUGGUGAAGGCAACCCAAAAGGACCAUGCACAACCGGAUAUAGUUACAGCCUUAGACACUAUUCCAACAGUCUCCCACUUGGAUAAGUCUAGUAACUAUACAAGUACAAUUCGGUUUGCAAUCGUAGCUCUCAAAGACGCUGUCAACUCUGAUCUAAUCAAUCUUGUCCUUUAGAUAAGGGAACGUACAGUCCUCUGUUAGAUAUCAUGCUGACAAUCCUAUGGAAUGGUUAGUCAAGCAUUUAGGUUUCUCGAUCUCUGAUUUAUUUGACAUAGAACUUAAUCGAACACAUCAAUUCAGUUCUGACCGGGCCCGGCACAUAAGUCAAAUCAAAUCAUCGAGCGGCCGAGAUAUCGCUUUUACCUUCUUAGAUAAAAGUUACAGAUAAACUUCGACUUAUAUGCAUUUACUUAUUCAUUAACCAACUAUACACAACAAUACGUUUUAUAACACCAAGUUACUGAUGCGUUUUCGUAUUAUCAAUGUACAAUCAAUUAACAAAUAAUAAACCAUAUAUCUAGGUUUUAAGACUAUAUGAUAUUAUCGUCUUGCGAUCACCUUUUAUAUCGUAUUCCAUAAGGUGAUUCCAGCAAGCGCGGGUUUAUUCCAAUGCUCAAAACUAGUUCAUAAGCACUCAUGAACGUUGCAGCAAUCCUUUGCUAUGUCUAACACCAUUUAGACAUUCUACACACCAAUUCAUGACAAUCUUCUUUCAUAUCUACUCCCAACAUAUGAACGAUUGUGGACCAUUUGAAUAAUUCGAUUAUUCCUAAUAAACUCAAUUAUUCUGGAAGUCAAAACAUGCAAAGUGAAACAAUAGCUAAACAAUUAACAUAAGAUAGUAACAUUACUCAUAAAUAAAACUCCUUUAUUUAAUCAUCAAAUGUCAAUUACAUUUAUCUAUUACACGUUUCUAAUACUAUCUAAUCUAUGCUAAUAUCAUCCUUCAGCCCAAUACUCCUAGCAUGCUGCAAGUGCUUAACCCUACUCAGUCCCUUCGUAAGCGGAUCUGCUGGGUUAUCUUCUGAUGAUAUCCUCUUCACUACGAGUUGUCCUUCUUCUACACGAUGUCUAAUGAAGUGAUACUUUCUGUCGAUAUGUCUUGAUCUACCAUGAUCCCUCGGUUCCUUGGUUAAGGCAACCGCACCUUCGUUAUCACAGAAAAUCUCCAUUGGCUCCUUUAUGGCAGGUACGACUCCAAGAUCACCGAUGAAGUUCUUUAGCCAUAUUGCCUCCUUCGACGCUUCGCUCGCUGCAAUGUACUCUGAUUCGCACGUUGAAUCAGCUACGGUUUCCUGCUUGGAACUCUUCCAUGUCACUGCUCCUCCAUUUAGGGUAAAGACCCAGCCCGACUGCGAACGGUAGUUGUCCCUGUCGGUCUGAAAACUGGCGUCACUAUACCCUCGCACCUUCAAGUCAUCACUCCCUCCGAGGACUAAGAACCAUUCCUUCGUCCUCCGAAGGUACUUAAGGAUAUUCUUCACCGCAAUCCAAUGUGCUUUGCCAGGAUUCCCUUGAUAUCUGCUAACCAUGCUCAAAGCGAAGGCUACAUCAGGGCGAGUACAAGUCAUAGCGUACAUGAUUGAGCCAACUGCGGAAGCGUAUGGUACUCGGCUCAUUUCUGCUAUCUCAGCUUCGGUACUCGGACUUUGAGUCUUACUCAAUUUGGCAUUACUUUGUAUCGGUAGUUCUCCCUUCUUUGAGUUUUCCAUACUAAAACGUUUUAGUACCUUCUCUAAGUAAGUAUUCUGACUAAGUCCAAUUAGUCUCUUACUUCUUUCUCUUACUAUCCUUAUUCCCAAAAUGUAAGAAGCCUCUCCGAGGUCCUUCAUAGCGAAGCACUUCCCGAGCCAGGACUUAACCUCCUGCAGAGUCGGGAUGUCGUUUCCUAUGAGUAAUAUGUCAUCGACAUAUAGAACGAGGAAGCUUACUAUACUCCCACUGGCUUUGACAUAUACACAAGAUUCGUCUUCGCUUCGUACAAAUCCAAACUCUUUGACUUUCUCAUCGAAGCAAAGAUUCCAUCUGCGAGACGCUUGCUUAAGUCCAUAAAUGGACUUCUCAAGCUUACACACUCUAUUCGGAUGCUUCGGAUCCACAAACCCCUCUGGCUGAGCCAUGUAAACAUCCUCAGCCAACUUUCCGUUAAGGAAAGCGGUCUUGACAUCCAUUUGCCAAAUCUCAUAAUCAUGAAAUGCGGCAAUUGCUAGCAUCACUCUAAUAGAUUUAAUCUUCGCAACUGGUGAGAAGGUCUCAUCAUAGUCAACUCCGGGAGUUUGAGUAAAGCCCUUCGCAACCAAUCGCGCUUUAUAUGUGUGUACGUUUCCAUCCACGUCGGUCUUCUUCUUGAAGAUCCAUUUGCACCCAACGGUCUUACGUCCGGGCACAUAAUCAACCAAAUUCCAAACUUGGUUAUCAUACAUGGAUUGGAUCUCGCUAUCCAUUGCCUCUUUCCAUUUUGCAGACUCCGGGCCUGCCAUGGCUUCCUUAUAGCUAUUAGGUUCAUCAAGAUUUAUUAGUGUACCAUCACUAAUAUACGUGUCCCCUUCGGUAGUAAUAUGAAAACCAUAAAACUGGGGUUGAACUCUAACUCUAUCGGAACGUCUAAGAGGUAAGGAUUCGUCAAUCGGUUCAACCGGAGUUUCCUCCUCGGGUUGAGUGCCAGCGGUAGAGGUUCCUUCAUCUAUCGACUCUUGAAUCUCUUCAAGCUCGAUUUGCCUCCCACUGUCUCCUUGGCUUAUGAGUUCUCGCUCUCGGAAAACUCCUCUCCUCGCAACGAAGACAACAUUGUCCUUCGGUCUAUAGAAGAGAUAUCCAAAGGAUGUCUGCGGGUAGCCGAUGAAAAUACAUCGCUCACUUCGAGGUUCAAGCUUGUCGUGAGUAUCUCGUCUUACGAAAGCCUCGCAACCCCAAACCUUGAUAUGUGCCAACGAGGGAGCUUUCCCUGUCCACAUCUCGUGAGGUGUUUUGGCAACCUUCUUAGUAGGGACUCGGUUAAGGAUAUGGGCGGCAGUCUCUAAGGCAUACCCCCAAAAAGAGAUUGGUAGUGAAGCACGACUCAUCAUAGAGCGAACCAUAUCCAAUAAGGUUCGAUUACGCCUUUCUGCCACACCAUUCAACUGCGGUGUCCUAGGAGGCGUCAAUUGCGAAACUAUUCCACACUCCUUGAGAUAAUCGUGGAAUUCAAGACUUAGGUACUCUCCUCCUCGAUCGGAUCGAAGCAUCUUGAUUUUCCUGCCCAAUUGAUUCUCCACUUCAUUCUUGAACUCUUUGAACUUUUCAAAGGUUUCUGACUUUUGCUUGAUUAAGUAGAUAUACCCAUAUCUACUAUAGUCAUCGGUAAAAGUCACAUAGAAGCGGUUCCCAUCCUUCGUGGUUGAUCUAAACGGUCCACAUACAUCGGUAUGUAUUAGGUCCAAUAGACCCUCGCCCCUUUCACAUGUACUCGUGAAGGGUGACUUAGUCAUCUUUCCAAGCAAACAAGACUCGCAUGUGUCAUCUUCCCUAAGGUCGAAUGACUCCAACACUCCAUCCUUUUGGAGUUGGGCUAUGCGUUUCUUGUUGACAUGUCCAAGACGACAAUGCCACAAGGAUGCUUUAUCCAUACUAGUGGAAGAAUCAAUAUUCAAAACAUCAUUUCCUAAGUUAUCAACAAUCAUAACGGUUUCAUAUAUUCCAUUACAUGGUAUAGCUUCAAAGUAAAAGACACCAUUUAGAUAAGCCAAAAUAGAACCAUUCUCAUUAUUAAAAGAAAAUCUAAAUCCUUGUCUAUAUAAACCAUGAAAUGAAAUGAUGUUUCUUGCCAUUUCUGGCGAAUAGCAACAAUUGUUCAAAUCUAAAACUAAACUAUUCCUAAGCACUAAGGAAUACACUCCAAUCUUGGUCACAGGCGACGAUCUUCUGUUCCCCAUGAUUAGAUUGAUCCUUCCUUGCUCCACAUCCCUACUUCUUCUUAGUCCCUGCACAUUAGAACAAAUGUGAUAACCACAACCGGUAUCAAGAACCCAAGAAAUAGCAUGAUUAGAAUCGUUAGAUUUGAUUGUAUAUAUACCUGCGAAAGAUGGCUUGAUCUUUCCUUCUUUGAUUGCUUGCAGGUAAUCCGGGCAGCUUCUCUUCCAAUGUCCUAUCUUGUGGCAGUGGUGGCACUCUGCCUCCUUCGGGUUAGAGCAGGGCUUGGCGGGAUCAACUUUGGUCCCACUAGAAGAGGCACCAUCUCGGGCUUUCACCUUGCGAUAGUUCUUCGAUGAAGCUUUCCUCUUCUUUCCCUUCCCUUGUCCAAUAGCCAAGACAGGAGCAGCGGGCGGAUUGGGAGUAGGUGCAACAGACUUGUCUUUGAAGUUGCUCUCAGCAACCCUCAAGAGACCUUGGAGCUUGCUUAGGGUGACCUCUUCUUUGUUCAUGUGGUAGGUCAUCCUAAAUUGGUUGUACAUCGGAGGCAAAGAGUGAAGCACCAUGUCGAUCGCCAAGUCUUCACCGAAGUCAACAUUUAACUUGCGGAGGCGGUCAACAUACCUUUGCAUCUUUUGCAAGUGCACGGUAAGAGAUUCUCCAUGACCCAUCUUCGCGGAAAUCAUGUUAGUGAAAAUCUCGUACCUCUCUUGUCUCGCGUUUUGGUGGUACCUCUCCAAUAAGUCUUGAUGCAUCUCGUACGGGUACAUGUCCUCGUAGGACUUUUGGAAUUCGGAGUUCAUGGUGGCGAUCAUGAUGCAAUGUACCUUCGUUGCAUCUCGCUCAUGAGUUUCAAAGGCGGUGAUUUCGGCGGGAGUAGCAAUUUCGGGGUUGAUUUUCUCGAGCUUCUCAUCGAGGACAUACUCCUUAUCCUCAUAGCGAGCAAUGGUGCGAAUGUAUCUUAUCCAUUCGCUAAAGUUCGUUCCAUCGAAGGUGACCUUUUGGCAAAGGCUCAUCAACGUGAAAGAACUAGCAGCAGCGUUGUUUGCGUUCGACAUCUACAAUUAGAAAAGGACAAAGAUAGAUUAGAAUAAGAAUCCCUAAUUAUCACCCAAUAAGAAAAUUAGGGCUAGGAUCCAACAAUAACAUUUACAUACUAGAAAAGGGAUGCCGUAAUCUAACAUGCAAAUAAAUUGAAGGUAAGUGAAUGACGAUUCACUAAUUCUCCACCAUAAAACCUAACUAUUAGUCCUAAAUGUAUUGAGAAUUCCUAGGAUCGGAUGAGAUUCAAAGGUAUGAUUCUAGACAAUUAAGCAACAAUUUAAUGAAAACCAAGCUAAGCUCUAAUGACUAUUUAGGAAUAAAAACAAUGUUAAAACAGAUCUAGAAUCAUACCUUUGAAUUCCUUGUUGAUCUUGUUGUCUUGGAGCUUCUAGAGUCACA
This 7331-nucleotide long non-coding RNA is filed under the name Lactuca sativa (garden lettuce). Its description in RNAcentral is "long non-coding RNA (LSAT_LNC004540)". The record is from RNAcentral. Lineage: Eukaryota; Viridiplantae; Streptophyta; Magnoliopsida; Asterales; Asteraceae.